This is a non-coding RNA of Dipodomys ordii (Ord's kangaroo rat), 60 nucleotides long. NCBI's taxonomy places the organism in Eukaryota, Metazoa, Chordata, Mammalia, Rodentia, Heteromyidae. The record is from Rfam.
GUGGCUCAAUGGUAGAGUGCUUGCCUUGCAUGCAUGAAGCCCUGGGUUCAAUUCCUCAGC